This 429-nucleotide ribosomal RNA is filed under the name Chloroflexota bacterium. Its description in RNAcentral is "Chloroflexi bacterium partial 16S ribosomal RNA". It matches the Rfam family "Bacterial small subunit ribosomal RNA", at positions 355 to 776 of the family's 1533-position model. Lineage: Bacteria; Bacillati; Chloroflexota. The record is from RNAcentral.
UGGGGAAUAUUGCACAAUGGGCGCAAGCCUGAUGCAGCCAUGCCGCGUGUGUGAAGAAGGCCUUCGGGUUGUAAAGCACUUUCAGCGGGGAGGAAGGCGAUAAGGUUAAUAACCUCAUCGAUUGACGUUACCCGCAGAAGAAGCACCGGCUAACUCCGUGCCAGCAGCCGCGGUAAUACGGAGGGUGCAAGCGUUAAUCGGAAUUACUGGGCGUAAAGCGCACGCAGGCGGUCUGUCAAGUCGGAUGUGAAAUCCCCGGGCUCAACCUGGGAACUGCAUUCGAAACUGGCAGGCUAGAGUCUUGUAGAGGGGGAUAGAAUUCCAGGUGUAGCGGUGAAAUGCGUAGAGAUGUGGAGGAAUACCGGUGGCGAAGGCGGCCCCCUGGACAAAGACUGACGCUCAGGUGCGAAAGCGUGGGGAGCAAACAGG